UCGUCUUCUGAAUCACUGUAUAUUAGCGGUACAGGACGUCGCUUUCGAAUCGCUAUACUGCUGCUAUCACUUUCGUCAUCAGUACUACUUGCUGAACGGCAGUCAAAACAAUCUGACAGGUCGUCGAGAUAAAAUUCACCGACACUAUCCUUUUCAUUCAUUUUUAAGGGCACAAAAGCUUAGAGAAAAGCACCGAUUAUCUGAAUAAAGAAUGCGAAAUGCUUGCUGCUUGCUACUUGUCAGUCUAGCCUAACCAAAUCUAACAGAAAGAUCAAAAGUCGAUUAAUCGACGACCGGUCGGUAAGCGCUGAGAACAAAACGUCGAUUAAUCGACGGCCGGUCGGUAAAGUGUUAAAAUAUACUAAAAUAGUAUGUACGUAUUUUUGAAGGUGAACAAUUAUUCUUUCGUAGAUAUUAUUAAAAAGAAUUAAAAGCGACUGUGUCGAAAGGGAGAGAUUCGUAGGAUCGCGUCGGGUAUCAACAAUAGCACCUCCCACCACUUUCCGCGCGCGUUUCGAACUCGCGGAUCGAAUCUCGAGCUCGAACGAAGGCGCGUUGCACAGUCUCGCGAUCGUCAUCGCGUAGAAACGUGAUUCUCGUUUACGAUAGUUACCACCACGACGUCGGUUUUACCAUUGGCUCGUAUUUGAUAUCGUGACACAACAACUGUGUCCUUGUGAAAAUAUAUAAAAUGCAAUUAUUGUGAAUUUAUUUAUUUCUUUUGUUUUUUAUUUUUUCGCAUAUUUGUAAGAACAAAUUCUUUUUCUUCUCUUUUUUCGCAAUUUCUACGACCCGUUGACAAAAGAAAGAACGAAUUUCAAAGAGGUGUCUAUAUAGCAUCACAAAAGGAAGGAGGAAGAUAGUCAUUUCGCAAAGAGAUCAUUCAAGGUAGUCUUUUUGAACGAACGCUUGCUGUUACCGUUUGCCUAGUGGUCGAUCAUCGGCUCGUUGAUCGACGCGUUGAUCCGGCUCCCUAGGUGGGAAGUUCAAAGCGGAAGAAGAACUUGGGGGAGAGAGAGAA
This 1021-nucleotide unclassified non-coding RNA is filed under the name Polistes fuscatus (common paper wasp). RNAcentral's name for it is "ubiquitin-like-conjugating enzyme ATG10, transcript variant X6". The record is from RNAcentral. Lineage: Eukaryota; Metazoa; Arthropoda; Insecta; Hymenoptera; Vespidae.